Molecule: ribosomal RNA, 258 nt
Filed under: uncultured bacterium
Lineage: Bacteria
Description: partial 16S ribosomal RNA
Rfam family: Bacterial small subunit ribosomal RNA
Source: RNAcentral
UGGCGGACGGGUGAGUAACGCGUGGGUAACCUGCCUCACACAGGGGGAUAACAGUUGGAAACGACCGCUAAUACCGCAUAAGCCAACAGGGGCGCAUGCUCUGGUUGGAAAAGAUUAAUCGGUGUGAGAUGGACCCGCGUCUGAUUAGCCAGUUGGCAGGGUAACGGCCUACCAAAGCGACGAUCAGUAGCCGGCCUGAGAGGGUGAACGGCCACAUUGGGACUGAGACACGGCCCAAACUCCUACGGGAGGCAGCAG